Molecule: non-coding RNA, 45 nt
Filed under: Schistosoma curassoni
Lineage: Eukaryota; Metazoa; Platyhelminthes; Trematoda; Strigeidida; Schistosomatidae
Source: RNAcentral
AUACAACUGACGAGUCUCGAACAGGACGAAACACGUGUUUUGGAU